CCUACGGGUGGCAGCAGUGGGGAAUAUUGGGCAAUGGGCGCAAGCCUGACCCAGCAACGCCGCGUGAAGGAAGAAGGCUUUCGGGUUGUAAACUUCUUUUCUCAGCGACGAAGCAAGUUACGGUACUUGAGGAAUAAGCUACGGCUAACUACGUGCCAACAGCCGCGGUAAUACGGAGGUGGCAAGCGUUAACCGGAUAUACUGGGUGUAAAGGGCGGGUAGGCGGGAAAUAAAGUCAGAUGUGAAAACCCUGGGCUCAACCUGUGGCCUGCAUUUGAAACUGUUUUUAUUGAGUACUGUAGAGGCAGACGGAAUUCCUAGUGUAGCGGUGAAAUGCGUAGAUAUUAGGAGGAACACCAGAGGCGAAGGCAGUCUGCUGGACAGCAACUGACGCUGAGGCGCGAAAGCGUGGGGAGCAAACAGGAUUAGAUACCCGGGUAGUC
Molecule: ribosomal RNA, 443 nt
Filed under: uncultured bacterium
Lineage: Bacteria
Description: partial 16S ribosomal RNA
Rfam family: Bacterial small subunit ribosomal RNA
Source: RNAcentral